UAUACGAUGAAGAGUUUGAUCCUGGCUCAGGAUGAACGCUAGCGGCAGGCUUAACACAUGCAAGUCGAGGGGUAUAGGUUUUCGGACCUAGAGACCGGCGCACGGGUGCGUAACGCGUAUGCAUACGACCUUUCCGAGAGGGAUAGCCCAGAGAAAUUUUGAUUAA
Molecule: ribosomal RNA, 166 nt
Filed under: Flavobacterium glycines
Lineage: Bacteria; Pseudomonadati; Bacteroidota; Flavobacteriia; Flavobacteriales; Flavobacteriaceae
Description: partial 16S ribosomal RNA
Rfam family: Bacterial small subunit ribosomal RNA
Source: RNAcentral